This 481-nucleotide ribosomal RNA is filed under the name uncultured bacterium. RNAcentral's name for it is "partial 16S ribosomal RNA". It matches the Rfam family "Bacterial small subunit ribosomal RNA", at positions 28 to 507 of the family's 1533-position model. The record is from RNAcentral.
GAUGAACGCUGGCGGCGUGCUUAACACAUGCAAGUCGAACGAAGCACCUUAUUUGAUUUCCUUCGGGACUGAUUAUUUUGUGACUGAGUGGCGGACGGGUGCGUAACGCGUGGGUAACCUGCCUUGUACAGGGGGAUAAUAGUUGGAAACGGCUGCUAAUACCGCAUAAGCGCACGGCAUCGCAUGAUGCAGUGUGAAAAGCUCCGGGGGGAUAAGAUGGACUCGCGUUGGAUUAGCUAGUUGGUGAGGUAACGGCCCACCAAGGCGACGAUGCAUACCCGAGCGGGGAGGGGGACCGGCCACAUCGGGACUGAGACACAGCCCAAACUCCUACGGGAGGCAGCAGUGGGGAAUAUUGCACAAGGGGGGAAGGCCUGAUGCAGCGACGCCGCGUGAGCGAGGAAGUAGGUCGGUAUGUAAAGCUCUAUCAGCAGGGGAGAUAAUGACGGUACCUGACGAAGAAGCACCGGCUAAAUACGUG